This 452-nucleotide long non-coding RNA is filed under the name Calidris pugnax (ruff). RNAcentral describes it as "lncRNA (ENSCPUG00000011194.1)". The record is from RNAcentral. Lineage: Eukaryota; Metazoa; Chordata; Aves; Charadriiformes; Scolopacidae.
AUGCUGGGUGUAGAUCUCCUGCUUUGGCUAUGUUUAAAUAAGAACAAGCCUACACUACUACUUUCAGAAUAUUUCAGACUUCCUGAAGGCACAACUGCAAAUAAUUAUUUGCCAAGUCAUGAAGUUGGAUCAAUUGUGGGUAAACAUUUUCAAAUGAAAAAAGGCACAAGCAUUACAGCGUGGGGAAGCUUUUGUCACAAAGCUAAAGUCCUGGUCAUCAUCGUUGGGGUUGAAAUUGUUCCUCUGGAGUUACGUAGCACGGCAAGAUCAUUUCGGAGAACCAUUUGCCUGCUGAGUGUGGAGCUUGUACUAUUUAAGGAGGAAUAAACUCAACGCACAAUCAAUUUUGGUAAUUACCUGUUUGCACUAUUGCUUGUCCUUGAGUUUUCCCUAGAGAAGGGUCAAAUCAAGCUAUUUGGAUUCUUGGAGGGCAGGGGACAGUUAGCAGUUGG